This 1179-nucleotide ribosomal RNA is filed under the name uncultured bacterium. RNAcentral describes it as "bacterial SSU rRNA". It matches the Rfam family "Bacterial small subunit ribosomal RNA", at positions 325 to 1502 of the family's 1533-position model. The record is from RNAcentral.
CCCGGUCCAGUUCCUUCGGGAGGCAACAUGGGGAAUUUUGCAAAUGGGCGCAAGCUGAUGCAGCCAUGCCCGGUGUAGAAGAAAGCCUUCGGGUUGUAAAGUAUUUUCAGCAGUGAGGAAGGUGGGUAUGUUAAUAGCAUAUUCAUUUGACGUUAGCUGCAGAAGAAGCACCGGCUAAUUCCGUGCCAGCAGCCGCGGUAAUACGGAGGGUGCGAGCGUUAAUCGGAAUUACUGGGCGUAAAGCGCAUGCAGGUGGUUUGUUAAGUCAGAUGUGAAAGCCCGGGGCUCAACCUCGGAAUUGCAUUUGAAACUGACAAACUAGAGUACUGUAGAGGGGGGUAGAAUUUCAGGUGUAGCGGUGAAAUGCGUAGAGAUCUGAAGGAAUACCGGUGGCGAAGGCGGCCCCCUGGACAGAUACUGACACUCAGAUGCGAAAGCGUGGGGAGCAAACAGGAUUAGAUACCCUGGUAGUCCACGCCGUAAACGAUGUCUACUUGGAGGUUGUGGCCUUGAGCCGUGGCUUUCGGAGCUAACGCGUUAAGUAGACCGCCUGGGGAGUACGGUCGCAAGAUUAAAACUCAAAUGAAUUGACGGGGGCCCGCACAAGCGGUGGAGCAUGUGGUUUAAUUCGAUGCAACGCGAAGAACCUUACCUACUCUUGACAUCUACAGAAGCCAGCGGAGACGCAGGUGUGCCUUCGGGAACUGUAAGACAGGUGCUGCAUGGCUGUCGUCAGCUCGUGUUGUGAAAUGUUGGGUUAAGUCCCGCAACGAGCGCAAUCCUUAUCCUUGUUUGCCAGCACUUCGGGUGGGAACUCCAGGGAGACUGCCGGUGAUAAACCGGAGGAAGGUGGGGACGACGUCAAGUCAUCAUGGCCCUUACGAGUAGGGCUACACACGUGCUACAAUGGCGCAUACAGAGGGCGGCCAACUUGCGAAAGUGAGCGAAUCCCAAAAAGUGCGUCGUAGUCCGGAUUGGAGUCUGCAACUCGACUCCAUGAAGUCGGAAUCGCUAGUAAUCGUGGAUCAGAAUGCCACGGUGAAUACGUUCCCGGGCCUUGUACACACCGCCCGUCACACCAUGGGAGUGGGCUGCAAAAGAAGUGGGUAGUUUAACCUUCGGGAGGACGCUCACCACUUUGUGGUUCAUGACUGGGGUGAAGUCGUAACAAGGUAACCG